Molecule: ribosomal RNA, 1135 nt
Filed under: Salmonella enterica subsp. enterica serovar Javiana
Lineage: Bacteria; Pseudomonadati; Pseudomonadota; Gammaproteobacteria; Enterobacterales; Enterobacteriaceae
Description: bacterial SSU rRNA
Rfam family: Bacterial small subunit ribosomal RNA
Source: RNAcentral
UGAAGAGUUUGAUCAUGGCUCAGAUUGAACGCUGGCGGCAGGCCUAACACAUGCAAGUCGAACGGUAACAGGAAGCAGCUUGCUGCUUUGCUGACGAGUGGCGGACGGGUGAGUAAUGUCUGGGAAACUGCCUGAUGGAGGGGGAUAACUACUGGAAACGGUGGCUAAUACCGCAUAACGUCGCAAGACCAAAGAGGGGGACCUUCGGGCCUCUUGCCAUCAGAUGUGCCCAGAUGGGAUUAGCUUGUUGGUGAGGUAACGGCUCACCAAGGCGACGAUCCCUAGCUGGUCUGAGAGGAUGACCAGCCACACUGGAACUGAGACACGGUCCAGACUCCUACGGGAGGCAGCAGUGGGGAAUAUUGCACAAUGGGCGCAAGCCUGAUGCAGCCAUGCCGCGUGUAUGAAGAAGGCCUUCGGGUUGUAAAGUACUUUCAGCGGGGAGGAAGGUGUUGUGGUUAAUAACCGCAGCAAUUGACGUUACCCGCAGAAGAAGCACCGGCUAACUCCGUGCCAGCAGCCGCGGUAAUACGGAGGGUGCAAGCGUUAAUCGGAAUUACUGGGCGUAAAGCGCACGCAGGCGGUCUGUCAAGUCGGAUGUGAAAUCCCCGGGCUCAACCUGGGAACUGCAUUCGAAACUGGCAGGCUUGAGUCUUGUAGAGGGGGGUAGAAUUCCAGGUGUAGCGGUGAAAUGCGUAGAGAUCUGGAGGAAUACCGGUGGCGAAGGCGGCCCCCUGGACAAAGACUGACGCUCAGGUGCGAAAGCGUGGGGAGCAAACAGGAUUAGAUACCCUGGUAGUCCACGCCGUAAACGAUGUCUACUUGGAGGUUGUGCCCUUGAGGCGUGGCUUCCGGAGCUAACGCGUUAAGUAGACCGCCUGGGGAGUACGGCCGCAAGGUUAAAACUCAAAUGAAUUGACGGGGGCCCGCACAAGCGGUGGAGCAUGUGGUUUAAUUCGAUGCAACGCGAAGAACCUUACCUGGUCUUGACAUCCACAGAACUUUCCAGAGAUGGAUUGGUGCCUUCGGGAACUGUGAGACAGGUGCUGCAUGGCUGUCGUCAGCUCGUGUUGUGAAAUGUUGGGUUAAGUCCCGCAACGAGCGCAACCCUUAUCCUUUGUUGCCAGCGGUCCGG